This 384-nucleotide ribosomal RNA is filed under the name Triticum aestivum (bread wheat). RNAcentral's name for it is "partial small subunit ribosomal RNA". Lineage: Eukaryota; Viridiplantae; Streptophyta; Magnoliopsida; Poales; Poaceae. The record is from RNAcentral.
AUGCGACGAAGAAACUUCAUCCAGUGCAUCCAAUCGGCAGGCGCCCUCAAGACUAGCCACGCCGACAAGGCGGCCGUUGUGCACGAGCACUUCUCCUUGCUGGGGCAAAAAAGAAACCGGUCUCGCACGAUCAACUGGGAGGCGCUUGAGCUACCAAGACUGCAAGCUGGCGGACUCGACAACCCCUUCUCUGAGGUAGAGGUUUGGGCAGUGAUUUGUGCAUCCCCGUCAGAGAAGGCGCCAGGCCCCGAUGGCUUCAACGGCGCUUUCUUUAGAGCAUGCUGGCCAACUAUCAAGGUGGAUGUCCAUCAGGCUCGCAGGUGUUUUGGAUCAGCUGAUCUCUCCAGCAUAGAGCGCGUUCCAAAGGAAGAAAGGAAUCCAUGA